RNAcentral lists this small RNA (125 nucleotides) under Marmota monax (woodchuck). The record is from RNAcentral. Lineage: Eukaryota; Metazoa; Chordata; Mammalia; Rodentia; Sciuridae.
GCCAGGUGCAGUGGCCCAUGCCUGUAAUCCCAUUGGCUCAGGAGGCAGAGGCAGGAGGAUUGCCAAUUCAAAGCCAGCCUCAUCAACAGUGAGGUGCUAAGCAAUUCAGUGAGACCCUGUCUCUA